AUGCACGCUGGCGGCGUGCCUAAUCCCUGCAAGUCGAGCGAACGGACGAGAAGCUUGCUUUUCUGAUGUUAGCGGCGGACGGGUGAGUAACACGUGGAUAACCUACCUAUAAGACUGGGAUAACUUCGGGAAACCGGAGCUAAUACCGGAUAAUAUUUUGAACCGCAUGGUUCAAAAGUGAAAGACGGUCUUGCUGUCACUUAUAGAUGGAUCCGCGCUGCAUUAGCUAGCUGGUAAGGUAACGGCUUACCAAGGCAACGAUGCAUAGCCGACCUGAGAGGGUGAUCGGCCACACUGGAACUGAGACACGGUCCAGACUCCUACGGGAGGCAGCAGUAGGGAAUCUUCCGCAAUGGGCGAAAGCCUGACGGAGCAACGCCGCGUGAGUGAUGAAGGUCUUCGGAUCGUAAAACUCUGUUAUUAGGGAAGAACAUAUGUGUAAGUAACUGUGCACAUCUUGACGGUACCUAAUCAGAAAGCCACGGCUAACUACGUG
Molecule: ribosomal RNA, 496 nt
Filed under: uncultured bacterium
Lineage: Bacteria
Description: partial 16S ribosomal RNA
Rfam family: Bacterial small subunit ribosomal RNA
Source: RNAcentral